CCUACGGGUGGCAGCAGUGAGGAAUAUUGGUCAAUGGACGAGAGUCUGAACCAGCCAAGUCGCGUGAAGGAUGACUGCCCUAUGUGUUGUAAACUUCUUUUAUCAAGGAAUAAAACCAGGCACUUGUCCCUUUUUGCGUGUACUUUAUGAAUAAGGAUCGGCUAACUCCGUGCCAGCAGCCGCGGUAAUACGGAGGAUCCGAGCGUUAUCCGGCUUUAUUGGGUUUAAAGGGAGAGUAGAUGGGUUGUUAAGUCAGUUGUGAAAGUUUGCGGCUCAACCGUAACAGUGCAAUUGAUACUGGCAGUCGUGAGUACAGGUGAGGUAGGCGGAAUUCGUGGUGUAGCGGUGAAAUGCUUAGAUAUCACGAAGAACCCCGAUUGCGAAGGCAGCUUACUAACCUGUGACUGACAUUGAUGCACGAAAGUGUGGGUAUCAAACAGGAUUAGAUACCCUAGUAGUC
Molecule: ribosomal RNA, 460 nt
Filed under: uncultured bacterium
Lineage: Bacteria
Description: partial 16S ribosomal RNA
Rfam family: Bacterial small subunit ribosomal RNA
Source: RNAcentral